GCACAAGCGGUGGAGCAUGUGGUUUAAUUCGAAGCUACGCGUAGAACCUUACCCACCCUUGACAUCCCGAUCAUAUCCCUAGGAGACUAGGGAGUCAGUUCGGCUGGAUCGGUGACAGGUGCUGCAUGGCCGUCGUCAGCUCGUGUCGUGAGAUGUUGGGUUAAGUCCCGCAACGAGCGCAACCCUUGUCGUGUGUUGUAUUUUUCACGCGAGACCGCCCGGGCCAACCGGGAGGAAGGUGGGGAUGACGUCAGGUCAGCAUGGCCCUUACGGGUGGGGCCACACACGUGAUACAAUGGCCGGUACAACGGGUCGCUAAGUCGCAAGAUGGAGCUAAUCCCAUCAAAACCGGUCUCAGUUCGGAUUGCAGGCUGCAACUCGCCUGCAUGAAGCUGGAAUUGCUAGUAACCGUGGGUCAGCACACCACGGUGAAUACGUUCCCGGGC
This 446-nucleotide ribosomal RNA is filed under the name uncultured bacterium. RNAcentral describes it as "bacterial SSU rRNA". It matches the Rfam family "Bacterial small subunit ribosomal RNA", at positions 923 to 1379 of the family's 1533-position model. The record is from RNAcentral.